ACGGAGGGUGCGAGCGUUAAUCGGAAUUACUGGGCGUAAAGCGCAUGCAGGCGGUUCGUUAAGUCAGGUGUGAAAGCCCGGGGCUCAACCUCGGAAUUGCAUUUGAAACUGGCGGGCUAGAGUACGGUAGAGGGGGGUAGAAUUUCAGGUGUAGCGGUGAAAUGCGUAGAGAUGUGAAGGAACACCGGUGGCGAAGGCAGCCCCCUGGACCGAUACUGACGCUCA
Molecule: ribosomal RNA, 225 nt
Filed under: uncultured prokaryote
Description: partial 16S ribosomal RNA
Rfam family: Bacterial small subunit ribosomal RNA
Source: RNAcentral